RNAcentral lists this long non-coding RNA (2651 nucleotides) under Mus musculus (house mouse). RNAcentral's name for it is "long non-coding RNA chr11:79643181-79645832". Lineage: Eukaryota; Metazoa; Chordata; Mammalia; Rodentia; Muridae. The record is from RNAcentral.
GAACUAUAGCAAACAGCACUAUGUUGCAGCUUCCAGCUGGAGCACACUCUCCCUUCCCUGCUACUUGCUGCUCAUAAGCUCCCCACUACCCCAGUCUUUAACAGCCUUACCACCAGGUUCUUGGUGUCUCUCCCCCCUCCCCUGGCCUGCCACUCCCAUCCCAGGAGUACAGGCAGGGCAAUAAAACCCCUCCCCAGCCUGGCUUGGUUCCUGACUCACACCAUCCAUUGAUCAUACCUCCAGUAGCCUCAGUUUCCCCAUCAAGAAGCACAGAGCUUCAGAGCACUAUGUGACAUGGGGUACUUCCAAGCACCUGGGAACCAAGAGCCAGGAGAUAGACUGGUUUCCUCAGCACAGAGCCCCUCAGAGCUUGACAAACCAAGAACCCUCAAGAAGAACACGGGGUGCUACAAAAUUUGCACUCAGACUUGACCAGGGAGGCCAUUCUUUUCUCCUGGAACACACUUUGGGACAUUCACAGGCCUUGCUACUCCUCUGUGGCUUGUGUGUGUCCUGGUAGCUGAUUAGACCACCCAGUCUGUGCAUAUACAAAUUCCUACAUUCUGACCUCCAGGCGAUUUAUGCUUCUGCCCAGUCUCCUGGGCACCCCAGUAGGUCACAUAUACUGGGUUCACCUGGGGAGCCUUAAAACCUCCAGAUUUAAUUGACCUGCAGUUUCACCAGUCACUGGGAGUUUGCCAAGCUGCCCUGAUGGUUUUAAAGUACAGCCAGCUAUAUGGAUGGGUGCACACCAGACAGGGUUAGGCGGAUCCAUUUGAAUUUGAAAUCUUGAGGAAAACAGGGGACUGUCUCAAGGCCCCGGCACUGGCUGGUUGCAAGGCCUGAACCAGGAUAAGGCGCCUGCAGUUCUAGCUGGUGUCAUCACUCACCCCACCUCGUGGCCUGGAACGUUCUCCUUCCGAGCCUCAGCUUGUACGUGCGUGUGUCGUGUGGGGGGUGGAGUCCACGUGCCACAGUGUAUCUGUCAAGUCAGAGGACAGCUUUAUGGAGCGGGUUCCCUCCUUCCACCUUUAUAUGGGCACCAGGGAUCAAAUUCGGGUUUCCACGUUUAUCCAGCAAGCUCUUUCUCCUACUGAGCCAUCUUGUUGGGAUCCUCAGCCUUAGCCUUUUGACCCCAAACAAGAGCCUUGGUUGAGCCCGGUCCUGAAACCAGCUUUGUACCUGGCCCACUCUACUCAGGAUUCUAAACGACCCAUCCCCAGGACGGAAAAGCCCAAGCCAUCCGGGAAGGGAAACAAGCCAUCAGGGCUUGGUCCUGUUAUAAAGCAAGCACUCUCGGGAGGACGAAUCCCAGCCUGGCCCCUUGUGGGCUCUGCUGCCUUGCCUUACCCUUGAUCCCUAAUGCAUCUCAGUUUCCUGGCUUAUGGACGGGCACAGUGGCCCAUGGCCCUGUGCAGAGAAAUAAAGGAGGUGCUGGACUCUUGGCUGGCAUCGUGUGAAGUUGCUGGGGGCUCUUACGUUGGCAGUGAUGCAGGAGGCCUGAGGUUUUUGGCUGCCUGGAGAGCAACAUUCCCUGCACUCUCCCUUCCCUGGUUCCCUUGCUAGAUUCCCCAGCCUGGCCGCUAUCCCACUGUCCCUUCAUGUGUGUGACUGUGGCUAGGAGGAGCCCUGUGUCCUGUGCUGCCAGUGUAGGGGACCAGAUAACUUUGCCAGCCACAGCUGGUGGCAGCCUUCCCACCGAGUGGGCCCACUCCUGACGGGGCAGCUGCUACCGUCAGGGUUGGUUUAUUUUUAUUCCUCCCUCUAGAGCCUGUAAUCAAAGGGCAGUAUCAUACUGCUGCUUGCCACGGGGAACAGAGAUGACGGGGUGUUAUUCACAGCCAGGCCCUGGGAAUGGGUCAGUGGCUGGCUUACACUUUCAUCUCUGAGGGAAACGGAGGUUGUAGACUCAACUCCUUCAAGGUUGCUCCCUUCAGCUCUGCUCUAGAUCACGGGUCUUCCCCUGGCCCUAUGACAGCUGUGGUAAGGGCAGCAUUAAGAGCAGCACCCCACGGACCUCACACCUUGGCCAGAGUCAGCUGGCUAAGUGCAGAUGGCAGGCCACAUUCACUCCCUCCUCUCCCCAGUCCUGGGUAGAUCUGAGAAUCAGAAUCCUAACAAGUUCUCUGGACCAACCACAGAUCUAGACACUGCUGCAGAGCUGUGGACACUUUUUCUCCUGUGCCAGUUCACCUCCCAGGGCUCCCAGCCCUGACCAGUCAGUCGGCUUUCUUUCGGCUUUCGGUCUCAGAAGCACCGACAGUCCUGGGGGAGCAGGCAGCAAUGGUCACAGUUAGACCACCUGGUUCACAGUCCAUAUCUUUGUCUGCUGCCUCCUGUUCUGUGACUUCUGUUUUCUCACCUGCGGGAUGAGGGUGAGACCGGCUCCCUCCUGUGCUGUUAGGCAGGUUGUUAAGUCAGUGCUUAUGCUAGUCUCCAGCACACAGAGAGCAUCAUCUCACAGGUGAGCAGCCGGGAUGUAACUCAGUUGGCAGAGAGCUCACUUAGCAUUCAUGAACCCCCCAGUUUGAUUCCCCGGCAUGAUAUAAACUACGCCUGGUGCAUUCGGAGGGCUAGAGAGGGAGCGGCGGGGGGAUCAGCAGUUCGAGGCUAACCUGAGCUUACGUGAGAUACCUACUGUAAAACUUUAA